Molecule: ribosomal RNA, 292 nt
Filed under: uncultured eukaryote
Lineage: Eukaryota
Description: partial 18S ribosomal RNA
Rfam family: Eukaryotic small subunit ribosomal RNA
Source: RNAcentral
GGUUGAUCCUGCCAGCAAUCAUAUGCUUGUCUCAAAGAUUAAGCCAUGCACGUCUAAGUAUAAGUAAUUAUAUGGCGAAACUGCGGAUGGCUCAUUAUAUCAGUUAUAAUCUACUCGAUUAAUUUUUUAAUUGGAUACCUGUAGGAAUUCUAGAGCUAAUACAUGCAAAAAGACUUGAUCGGGGCAACUCGAGAUGGUCGCGUAUACUAGAUGAGGAACCAAUUUGGGGGGCAACUCCCAACAGUAGGAUGAUACAUAGUAUCAAAGCGAAUCGGGGGUGAAGACCCUCGAU